AGCAAUACAGAGAAAAGUCUAGUGGCGAACGGGUGCGUAACACGUGAGCAACCUGCCGUGAAGUGGGGGAUAGCUCGCCGAAAGGCGAAUUAAUACCGCAUGUGGCCAGGAAGGACAUCCUUCCGACGCCAAAGCCGGGGCAACCUGGCGCUUCUCGAGGGGCUCGCGGCCUAUCAGCUUGUUGGUGAGGUAACGGCUCACCAAGGCUAUGACGGGUAGCUGGUCUGAGAGGACGACCAGCCACACUGGAACUGAGACACGGUCCAGACACCUACGGGUGGCAGCAGUCGAGAAUUUUUCACAAUGGGGGAAACCCUGAUGGAGCGACGCCGCGUGGAGGAUGACGGUUUUCGGAUUGUAAACUCCUGUCAUUAGAGAACAAGGCACAUAGUUUAACUGGCCGUGUGUUGAUAGUAUCUGAAGAGGAAGAGACGGCUAACUCUGUGCCAGCAGCCGCGGUAAUACAGAGGUCUCAAGCGUUGUUCGGAUUCAUUGGGCGUAAAGGGUGCGUAGGUGGCGAGGUAAGUCGGAUGUGAAAUCUCCAAGCUCAACUUGGAAACUGCAUUCGAUACUGCUUUGCUAGAGGAUUGUAGAGGGCAUUGGAAUUCACGGUGUAGCAGUGAAAUGCGUAGAUAUCGUGAGGAAGACCAGUGGCGAAGGCGAAUGCCUGGGCAAUUCCUGACACUGAGGCACGAAGGCCAGGGGAGCAAACGGGAUUAGAUACCCCGGUAGUCCUGGCAGUAAACGGUGCACGUUUGGUGUGGGAGGAUUCGACCCCUUCCGUGCCGGAGCUAACGCGUUAAACGUGCCGCCUGGGGAGUACGGUCGCAAGAUUAAAACUCAAAGAAAUUGACGGGGACCCGCGCAAGCGGUGGAGUAUGUGGCUUAAUUCGAUCAACGCGAAGAACCUUACCUGGCCUUGACAUGCAUCUCUAAUCCGGUGAAAGCCGGUGAGUGUAGCAAUACACAAUUUGCACAGGUGCUGCAUGGCUGUCGUCAGCUCGUGUCGUGAGAUGUUGGGUUAAGUCCCGCAACGAGCGCAACCCCUGUGAACUGUUGCCAUGGAGACGUGAGUCUCCGGCACUCUGUUCAGACUGCCCUGUUCAACGGGGAGGAAGGUGGGGACGACGUCAAGUCAGUAUGGCCCUUACGGCCAGGGCUGCACACGUACUACAAUGCCCGACACAGAAGGAUCCGAGACCGCAAGGUGGAGGAAAUCACCAAAGUCGGGCCCAGUUCGGAUUGGAGGCUGCAACUCGCCUCCAUGAAGCCGGAAUCGCUAGUAAUGGCGCAUCAGCUACGGCGCCGUGAAUACGUUCCCGGGUCUUGUACACACCGCCCGUCACAUCAUGGGAGUCGUUUGUACCCGAAGUGCGCGCGCCAACCGCAAGGAGGCAGCGCCCUAAGGUAUGAGCGGUAACUGGGAUGAAGUCGGAACAAGGUA
This 1444-nucleotide ribosomal RNA is filed under the name metagenome. RNAcentral's name for it is "bacterial SSU rRNA". It matches the Rfam family "Bacterial small subunit ribosomal RNA". The record is from RNAcentral.